GGUUUGCUUGUUGGAUACCUCCUCGCGGUGCAAACUGGGCAAUGCUGUGCUCCUACGACAGGGGAAAUUGGACACCACUGUUAGGCACAGUAGCCAAAAUCCAC
Molecule: non-coding RNA, 104 nt
Filed under: Caenorhabditis japonica
Lineage: Eukaryota; Metazoa; Nematoda; Chromadorea; Rhabditida; Rhabditidae
Source: RNAcentral